GUCACUCUCCUGUGACUUAUGUUGGACCACUCACAUGACAUAAAGCUAACAGUCUGGGGACACAGAAAUUGUUUGGUGUCCUGCCUGCCUGCAGUGUCUCAUCACCAGAGCAUGCCAGAGCCAACUCAAAGGACUCUGAAGGUUGGUCUUCUAAGCUACAGAAGAGGACUGGUUGAGACUGGCCUUUCCCCAAAAGGAAUGGGAUGGACACAAAAGAACCACAGUUCUUCUACUGAAAGAGCUUUUUGAAUUCUGUAGGCAGCAAGAUCCCAGCAUCAAGCCUUUUAGCAAAGACAGAAGACUGCCUGAGAAGAACCAUCUUUGAAAAUUUGUGAAUUCAACAGUUCAACUGCUAUGCCUGAUAAAUGAAGGUCAAAGACUUCUCUUCCCUGUUUUCCAUGCUUUUGGGUAAGGACUAUAUCCACACUGACAUAUCUGGGAAUAUUGCAUCUCUUGGAACCUCUAGGUCCAACUGGAACCCUGCUCUACCCCCGCCCCCAUAUACAAGAUGGAUGUUCUCCUGGUUCUGCUUAUUUCACUCUGCAUCAAUUACUACAGAUCUUUCCAGUGAAGCUACUCUUCUGGAGCCAAUUUCCCCUUAUUCAUCCUCAAGCCUUCUUGUGAAGCAUUGA
This 632-nucleotide long non-coding RNA is filed under the name Monodelphis domestica (gray short-tailed opossum). RNAcentral describes it as "lncRNA (ENSMODG00000043777.1)". The record is from RNAcentral. Lineage: Eukaryota; Metazoa; Chordata; Mammalia; Didelphimorphia; Didelphidae.